GCCCAUGUAGAUCAAUGGUAGAUCGUCUCGAAGAAUUAUGUCGAUGCAACUCAAGUAUCGAGAAGACGGAGGUUCGAUCCCUCUUGUGGGCU
Mycena crocata is the source of this 92-nucleotide non-coding RNA. The record is from the annotation of a GenBank genome assembly. Lineage: Eukaryota; Fungi; Basidiomycota; Agaricomycetes; Agaricales; Mycenaceae.